AAAGCUAAACUUGGAAAUUUGCAU
This 24-nucleotide non-coding RNA is filed under the name Arabidopsis thaliana (thale cress). Lineage: Eukaryota; Viridiplantae; Streptophyta; Magnoliopsida; Brassicales; Brassicaceae. The record is from RNAcentral.